Molecule: unclassified non-coding RNA, 375 nt
Filed under: Hevea brasiliensis (rubber tree)
Lineage: Eukaryota; Viridiplantae; Streptophyta; Magnoliopsida; Malpighiales; Euphorbiaceae
Source: RNAcentral
UUUACAGAAAAAAUGUCUACUCACACAAUCUAUGAUCUAUAUCUGUGAACAUCUUGAAAGGACAUGACUCAAGUCAUCAGCAAACUACUGGAGUCCUGCCCAGUUUCUUUUGGAGAUACCACAAUAUUUGAGGGGUCUUUAUUGUAGGCUUAUGGAUAGAUUGUACACACAUUUUUGCAACUGCCAAAAGACCUUUAAGCUCUUUGAAAUCGUAGCUGUCUCCGAGAUCAGGAUCAAUCAUCUGGUGAAUGGAUCUUCUUCGGAAGCGAGAAUCUUGAACCCAUUGAACUAAGUCAACACCUCCUUCUUCUGAGGAUUGACCGGUGACUAACUCGAGGAUCAGCAAACCAAGUUGGAAGAUUGUAUGUUUGCAGA